Molecule: ribosomal RNA, 440 nt
Filed under: uncultured bacterium
Lineage: Bacteria
Description: partial 16S ribosomal RNA
Rfam family: Bacterial small subunit ribosomal RNA
Source: RNAcentral
CCUACGGGCGGCAGCAGUGGGGAAUAUUGCACAAUGGGGGAAACCCUGAUGCAGCGAUGCCGCGUGGAGGAAGACGGUUUUCGGAUUGUAAACUCCUUUUAUCAGGGACGUUAAUGACGGUACCUGAGGAAAAAGCUCCGGCUAACUUCGUGCCAGCAGCCGCGGUAAUACGUAGGGAGCGAGCGUUGUCCGGAGUUACUGGGUGUAAAGGGAGCGUAGGCGGGACGUCAAGUCAGAUGUGAAAACUGAGGGCUCAACUUUCAGAGUGCAAUUGAAACUGCUGUUCUUGAGUGAAGUAGAGGUAAGCGGAAUUCGUGGUGUAGCGGUGAAAUGCGUAGAUAUUAGGAGGAACAUCGGUGGCGAAGGCGGCUUACUGGGCUGUCACUGACGCUGAGGCUCGAAAGCGUGGGGAGCAAACAGGAUUAGAUACCCGAGUAGUC